RNAcentral lists this unclassified non-coding RNA (235 nucleotides) under Glomus sp. Its description in RNAcentral is "partial contains 5.8S ribosomal RNA and internal transcribed spacer 2". The stretch from base 1 to 65 matches the Rfam family "5.8S ribosomal RNA", at positions 84 to 154 of the family's 154-position model. Lineage: Eukaryota; Fungi; Glomeromycota; Glomeromycetes; Glomerales; Glomeraceae. The record is from RNAcentral.
GUGAAUCAUCAAAUCUUUGAACGCAAAUUGCACUCUCUUCGGAGAGUAUGCCUGUUUGAGGGUCAGCCUAGAAAAAAUCGACGUAGUCGCUGUUUCGCGGUGACAUUCGUCGGAAAUUGGGCCAUCUUAAACCUUUGGGUUUUUUAAGCGGCUUAAAAUUUUCUUUAGGAUUCCAGAAAGUUUUCUAAGAUUUUAUUUCUUAACACGGUUUAAGGUAUGGAUCUUUAUUAGACGG